This 251-nucleotide ribosomal RNA is filed under the name uncultured prokaryote. RNAcentral describes it as "partial 16S rRNA". It matches the Rfam family "Bacterial small subunit ribosomal RNA", at positions 525 to 775 of the family's 1533-position model. The record is from RNAcentral.
ACGUAGGAGGCAAACGUUAUCCGGAUUUACUGGGCGUAAAGCGCGUGUAGGCGGUUCUGUAAGUAGGGCGUGAAAGCUCCUGGCUCAACUGGGAGAGGCCGUUCUAAACUGCAGAGCUAGAGGAUGGUAGAGGGAAGUGGAAUUCCGGGUGUAGCGGUGAAAUGCGCAGAUAUCCGGAGGAACACCAGUGGCGAAAGCGGCCUCCUGGACCGUACCUGACACUGAGGCGCGAAAGCUAGGGGAGCAAACGG